This 1744-nucleotide long non-coding RNA is filed under the name Citrus x clementina. Its description in RNAcentral is "Citrus clementina (C. clementina) long non-coding RNA (CCLE_LNC001700)". Lineage: Eukaryota; Viridiplantae; Streptophyta; Magnoliopsida; Sapindales; Rutaceae. The record is from RNAcentral.
GGCUAUAGCCCACCCGUUUAUUGGCCAUUUUUCCGCUGGGGGGUCUUGGCGCCCCGACCUUCGGGGGCUGAUUUUUGGGCGCGGCUGUGCCCGUGGUCUAUUUUUGGCACACGGAGGCCGCCCGCAACGUCUGGGGCCAUUCCAAGUCCGGCGGACGAACUUCGCCCACGCCCCCCACCAAGGCUAUAGCCCACCCGUUUUUUGGCCAUUUUUCCGCUGGGGGGUGUUGGCACCCCAACCUUCGGGGGCUGAUUUUGGGGGGCGGCUGUGCCCGUGGCCUAUUUUUGGCACACGGAGGCCGCCCGCAACGUCUGGAGCCCUUCCGAGUCCGGCGGACGAACUUCGCCCACGCCCCCCACCAAGGCUAUAGCCCACCCGUUUUUUGGCCAUUUUUCCGCUGGGGGGUCUUGGCGCCCCGACCUUCGGGGGCUGAUUUUUGGGCGCGGCUCUGCCCGUGGCCUCUUUUUGGCACACGGAGGCCGCCCGCAAAGUCUGGGGCCAUUCCGAGUCCGGCGGACGAACUUCGCCCACGCCCCCCACCAAGGCUAUAGCCCACCCGUUUUUUGGCCAUUUUUCCGCUGGUGGGUGUUGGCACCCCGACCUUCGGGGGCUGAUUUUUGGGCGCGGCUGUGCCCGUGGCCUAUUUUUGGCACACGGAGGCCGCCCGCAACGUCUGGGGCCAUUCCGAGUCCGGCGGACGAACUUCGCCCACGCCCCCCACGAAGGCUAUAGCCCACCCAUUUUUUGGCCAUUUUUCCGCUGGGGGGUGUUGGCACCCCGACCUUCGGGGGCUGAUUUUUGGGCGCGGCUGUGCCCGUGGCCUAUUUUUGGCACACGGAGGCCGCCCGCAACGUCUGGGGCCAUUCCGAGUCCGGCGGACGAACUUCGCCCACGCCCCCCACCAAGGCUAUAGCCCACCCGUUUUUUGGCCAUUUUUCCGCUGGGGGGUGUUGGCACCCCGACCUUCGGGGGCUGAUUUUUGGGCGCGGCUGUGCCCGUGGCCUAUUUUUGGCACACGGAGGCCGCCCGCAAAGUCUGGGGCCAUUCCGAGUCCGGCGGACGAACUUCGCCCACGCCCCCCACCAAGGCUAUAGCCCACCCGUUUUUUGGCCAUUUUUCCGCUGGGGGGUGUUGGCACCCCGACCUUCGGGGGCUGAUUUUUGGGCGCGGCUGUGCCCGUGGCCUAUUUUUGGCACACGGAGGCCGCCCGCAAAGUCUGGGGCCAUUCCGAGUCCGGCGGACGAACUUCGCCCACGCCCCCCACCAAGGCUAUAGCCCGCCCACCCGUUUUUUGGCCAUUUUUCCGCUGGGGGGUCUUGGCGCCCCGACCUUCGGGGCUUGAUUUUUGGGCGCGGGUGUGCCCGUGGCCUAUUUUUGGCACACGGAGGCCGCCCGCAAAGUCUGGGGCCAUUCCGAGUCCGGCGGACAAACUUCGCCCACGCCCCCCACCAAGGCUAUAGCCCACCUGUUUUUUGGCCAUUUUUCCGCUGGGGGGUCUUGGCGCCCCCACCUUCGGGGGCUGAUUUUUGGGCGCGGCUGUGCCCGUGGCCUAUUUUUGGCACACGGAGGCCGCCCGCAAAGUCUGGGGCCAUUCCGAGUCCGGCGGACGAACUUCGCCCACGCCCCCCACCAAGGCUAUAGCCCACCCUUUUUUUGGCCAUUUUUCCGCUGGGGGGUCUUGGCACCCCGACCUUCGGGGGCUGAUUUUUGGGCGCGGCUCUGCCCUUGGCCUAUUUUUGGCACA